Molecule: long non-coding RNA, 221 nt
Filed under: Lathyrus oleraceus (garden pea)
Lineage: Eukaryota; Viridiplantae; Streptophyta; Magnoliopsida; Fabales; Fabaceae
Description: Pisum sativum (pea) long non-coding RNA (PSAT_LNC025275)
Source: RNAcentral
AACAUUCAUCACACAAAAUUUCAAGGAAUUAAGGUAUCAUUUGCAAAUAUUUCCAGACCAUGGAUUAUGGACGAAGGAACACUAAGAAGUACAUUUUCAGAUGUCCCGAUUUGAAAGAGUUAAGGAAGCUAGCAUCUUUUGUAUUGGAUCCCUUGGACUUCAAACAACGUCAUGGGAAGCUUCUGUCUAUAUCGCCUGCUGAUGUGGUUGAAGGACUGUUG